RNAcentral lists this ribosomal RNA (458 nucleotides) under uncultured bacterium. Its description in RNAcentral is "partial 16S ribosomal RNA". It matches the Rfam family "Bacterial small subunit ribosomal RNA", at positions 28 to 523 of the family's 1533-position model. The record is from RNAcentral.
GAUGAACGCUGGCGGCGUGCCUAAUACAUGCAAGUCGAGCGGUAAGGCCCCUUCGGGGGUACACGAGCGGCGGACGGCUGAGUAACACGUAGGAACGUGCCCCAAAGUGAGGGAUAAGCACCAGAAAUGGUGUCUAAUACCGCAUGUGCUCUAAGGAGUAAAGCUUCGGCGCUUUGGGAACGGCCUGCGCAUGAUUAGCUUGUUGGUGAGGUAAUGGCUCACCAAGGUGACGAUCAUUAGCUGGUCUGAGAGGAUGACCAGCCAGACUGGGACUGAGAACGGCCCAGACUCCUACGGGAGGCAGCAGUAGGGAAUUUUCCACAAUGGGCGAAAGCCUGAUGGAGCAACGCCGCGUGCAGGAUGAAUGCCUUCGGGUUGUAAACUGCUUUUGUUAGUGACGAAUUUGACGGUAGCUAACGAAUAAGGACCGGCUAACUACGUGCCAGCAGCCGCGGUAA